Non-coding RNA from Caenorhabditis elegans, 95 nucleotides. Lineage: Eukaryota; Metazoa; Nematoda; Chromadorea; Rhabditida; Rhabditidae. The record is from RefSeq.
AUUCAACAAAAACGUUUCUGGAGGUAUGGGGAAUUGAACCCCAGCCCUCUCCCAUGCUAAGGGAGCGCUCUACCACUGAGCUAUACCCCCGAACG